GGGUCAUUAGGUUGGUCGUGCCACCGGUACGUACUGGUCUCACUGAUUCCUCCUUCCUGAAGAACCGUAAUGCCAUUAAUUUGGUGGUGCGGGGAAACAGGACUGUUACUUUGAAAAAAUUAGAGUGUUUAAAGCAAGCUAACGCUUGAAUACAUUAGCAUGGAAUAAUGAAAUAGGACGAUCGAUCCUAUUUUGUUGGUUUCUAGGAUUGACGUA
RNAcentral lists this ribosomal RNA (216 nucleotides) under Glomeromycotina sp. RNAcentral's name for it is "partial small subunit ribosomal RNA". The stretch from base 40 to 216 matches the Rfam family "Eukaryotic small subunit ribosomal RNA", at positions 686 to 864 of the family's 1831-position model. The record is from RNAcentral. Lineage: Eukaryota; Fungi; Glomeromycota.